AACACAUGCAAGUCGAGCGGAUGAGUGGAGCUUGCUCCAUGAUUCAGCGGCGGACGGGUGAGUAAUGCCUAGGAAUCUGCCUGGUAGUGGGGGACAACGUUUCGAAAGGAACGCUAAUACCGCAUACGUCCUACGGGAGAAAGUGGGGGAUCUUCGGACCUCACGCUAUCAGAUGAGCCUAGGUCGGAUUAGCUAGUUGGUGAGGUAAAGGCUCACCAAGGCGACGAUCCGUAACUGGUCUGAGAGGAUGAUCAGCCACACUGGAACUGAGACACGGUCCAGACUCCUACGGGAGGCAGCAGUGGGGAAUAUUGGACAAUGGGCGAAAGCCUGAUCCAGCCAUGCCGCGUGUGUGAAGAAGGUCUUCGGAUUGUAAAGCACUUUAAGUUGGGAGGAAGGGCAGUAAGUUAAUACCUUGCUGUUUUGACGUUACCAACAGAAUAAGCACCGGCUAACUUCGUGCCAGCAGCCGCGGUAAUACGAAGGGUGCAAGCGCUAAUCGGAAUUACUGGGCGUAAAGCGCGCGUAGGUGGUUCGUUAAGUUGGAUGUGAAAGCCCCGGGCUCAACCUGGGAACUGCAUCCAAAACUGGCGAGCUAGAGUAUGGCAGAGGGUGGUGGAAUUUCCUGUGUAGCGGUGAAAUGCGUAGAUAUAGGAAGGAAU
Molecule: ribosomal RNA, 662 nt
Filed under: uncultured bacterium
Lineage: Bacteria
Description: bacterial SSU rRNA
Rfam family: Bacterial small subunit ribosomal RNA
Source: RNAcentral